CAGCCGCCGCGGUAAUACGUAGGGUGCAAGCGUUAAUCGGAAUUACUGGGCGUAAAGCGUACGCAGGCGGCUUUGCAAGACAGGUGUGAAAUCCCCGGGCCUAACCUGGGAACUGCAUUUGUGACUGCAUGGCUAGAGUCUGUCAGAGGGGGGUGGAAUUCCACGUGUAGCAGUGAAAUGCGUAGAGAUGUGGAAGAACACCGAUGGCGAAGGCAGCCCCCUGGGAUGAGACUGACGCUCAUGUACGAAAGCGUGGGGAGCAAACAGGAUUAGAUACCCUGGUAGUCCACGCCCUAAAUGAUGUCUACUAGUUGUCGGAGGGUAACUCCUUCGGUAACGCAGCUAACGCGUGAAGUAGACCGCCUGGGGAGUACUGUCGCAAGAUUAAAACUCAAAGGAAUUGACGG
RNAcentral lists this ribosomal RNA (407 nucleotides) under uncultured bacterium. RNAcentral's name for it is "bacterial SSU rRNA". It matches the Rfam family "Bacterial small subunit ribosomal RNA", at positions 509 to 916 of the family's 1533-position model. The record is from RNAcentral.